AAUAGCGUAUAUUAAAGUUGUUGCAGUUAAAAAGCUCGUAGUUGAAUUUUGAUGGGUUCCCGAGAGGGUUCAAUUCGCCCAGGUAGUCGGCCGAGAGGCCUGUACAGCUUGGGAGAAGCCUAUCUUUUGGAGCGUUGGGGCAACUCACACUCCUUGUUUACUUUGAAUAAAAGAGACUGUUCAAAGAAGGCGUUCGCUUAAAUCUCUUAGCAUGGCAUAAUAAAAUAUGACUCUGAGUCUAUUUUGUUGGUUCCUAGAUACAGGGUAAUGAUAAAUAGGAACGGUUGGGGCCCUUGAUACUGCGCAGCUAGAGGUGAAGUUCUUGGAUUUGCGCAUGAUCAACUUCUGCGAAGGCAUUGGGCAAGGACGUUUUCAUUAAUCAAGAACGAAAGAUAAGGGAUCGAAGAUGAUUAGAUACCGUCGUAGUCUUAUCAGUAAACUAUGCCGUCUGACAAUCGCGCGGUGUUAAUUUAAAACGACCCGCGCGGCGGUCCGAGAGAAAUCAAAGAUUUUGGGUUCCGGGGGGAGUAUGGUCGCAAGACUGAAACUUAAAGGAAUUGACGGAAGGGCACCACCAGGAGUGGAGCUUGCGGCUUAAUUUGACCCAACACGGGGAAACUUACCAGGUCCAGACAUUAGAAGGAUUGACAGGUUGAUAGCCCUUUCUUGAUUUGAUGGGUGGUGGUGCAUGGCCGUUCUUAGUUGGUGGUGUGAACUGUCUGCUUGAUUGCGAUAACGAACGAGACCUCCACCGUUAAAUAGUAUCGCCGAGUUCACUGGGCGAGGCUUCUUAGCGGGACUGCGCGUUUCAAGCGCGAGGAAGUUGGAGGCAAUAACAGGUCUGUGAUGCCCUUAGAUGUUCUGGGCUGCACGCGCGCUACACUGCGUACAGCAACGAGUUGAGGUGGGGGGGGCAACUCUUCCACUACCUGGGCCGAUAGGUUUGGGAAAUCUCUUUAAAUGUACGCGUGAUUGGGCUAGAUGAUUGCAAUUAUUCAUCUUCAACGAGGAAUUCCUAGUAAGUGCGUUUCAUCAGAGCGCGCUGAUUACGUCCCUGCCCUUUGUACACACCGCCCGUCGCUCCUACCGAUUGGAUAUUCCGGUGAGGUUUCGGGAGAUUGGGUUUCCAGGGCAACCUGGUUACUUGGUCAAACUUACCCAAAUCAUAAUAUCUAGAGGAAGGAGAAGUC
This 1190-nucleotide ribosomal RNA is filed under the name metagenome. RNAcentral's name for it is "bacterial SSU rRNA". It matches the Rfam family "Eukaryotic small subunit ribosomal RNA", at positions 593 to 1790 of the family's 1831-position model. The record is from RNAcentral.